Molecule: long non-coding RNA, 449 nt
Organism: Seriola aureovittata
Lineage: Eukaryota; Metazoa; Chordata; Actinopteri; Carangiformes; Carangidae
Exons: 4
Source: RefSeq, a predicted model, not a curated record
GUGACGUAACAAGUGGUAUAAAUAGGAGGUCGCACGAAUAUGACGCUCUUCGUGGAGACGGUUGCUUAGCGGUCGCCUUCCCUCUUCGACAUGAGAGCUAAGUGGAGAAAGAAGCGCAUGCGCAGGCUGAAGCGUAAAAGGAGAAAGAUGAGGCAGAGGUCCAAGUAAACUGUCCACUGUCCAUGGCUGUGACAUCAAAUGUUGCUACUAACUAGACCAGUGAGCACAGCGUGAGAUCCAGGACCACUCCCUUGUGUCAAGUCUGAGGCCAGUGGAGUCCGUAUCGACCCGAGGCAGUGGCAGCUGAUUGAUGCUGGAGAUCUGAUUCCUGACCUGCUGGAUGUCAGUCUUUUCCUCUGGGACUUUCUGGACUCUUUGUUUUAACUCCUCAACUUUGGUCAUUUGUUUUUGUUUAUACUGUGAUUAAAGGUUUUGGUUUAAAAAAAGAA